Molecule: ribosomal RNA, 275 nt
Filed under: uncultured bacterium
Lineage: Bacteria
Description: partial 16S ribosomal RNA
Rfam family: Bacterial small subunit ribosomal RNA
Source: RNAcentral
CGGGAAGCGAGUAAAGUGGCGCACGGGUGCGUAACACGUAAAGAACCUACCUUUGUGAUCGGGGCAACCACGGGAAACUGUGGCUAAUUCCGGAUACGUUCUAGUGAACAUAAAGUUUAUUAGAAGAAAGCGGCCCUCUGAUAUAAGGUCGCGCACAUAGAUGGCUUUGCGGCCCAUCAGCUUGUUGGUGAGGUAAUGGCUCACCAAGGCUAUGACGGGUAGCUGGUCUGAGAGGACGAUCAGCCACACUGGGACUGGUACACGGCCCAGACUCC